Molecule: non-coding RNA, 422 nt
Organism: Cinara cedri
Lineage: Eukaryota; Metazoa; Arthropoda; Insecta; Hemiptera; Aphididae
Source: the annotation of a GenBank genome assembly
GCAUAAUUGAAAUGAACUAAAUACUUUUCGACCAUCAUAUUCCGAUGACCAGCAAACAUUUUUUUUUUUCCCCAUGAAUCGUUUAAACAGUUUUAUUUUUUGUUUUAUUAUUGAAAAUUACGAAAAUAGGUACAGUUUUAAAAUUCUUUUUUUUUUUCCAUUAUAUCGUACCUAUACGAAAUCGAAAUAUUUUGAAAAUACCAAAUAGUUACCUACGUACAUACAGAGAAGGCGAUCGCCCCAUGUAAUCUUACAUUGGUGACCAAAAUAGCGUAGGUACUGGCCGAAAAGUGAAAGGUUCGUUUUGGCAAAAAAAAGAGUUCCGCCCUCGAAAUCGCGUUUACUCGAAUACAAAAAGGGCAAUAGAGCAAAUCGCGAUUCCCUGGUUUGAAAACCGCCGGUGUAAAAUAGCAUAUUGUAUA